RNAcentral lists this unclassified non-coding RNA (256 nucleotides) under Tremellomycetes sp. Its description in RNAcentral is "partial contains 5.8S ribosomal RNA, internal transcribed spacer 2, and large subunit ribosomal RNA". Lineage: Eukaryota; Fungi; Basidiomycota; Tremellomycetes. The record is from RNAcentral.
CGCACCUUGCGCCUUUUGGUAUUCCAAAAGGCAUGCCUGUUUGAGUGUCAUGUAGACUCAACCCUCGAGGUUUUAUUGACCUUCUUGGGCUUGGACUUGGGCGCCUGCCUUCAUUGGCUCGCCUUAAAAGCGUUAGUGGGACGACCUGAAAGCACGAUGUAAUAAGUUUCAUCUGGCUCACGGUGACUGGCCCGCUCACAACCCCCAUCUUUAUGACUCUGACCUCAAAUCAGGUAGGACUACCCGCUGAACUUAA